RNAcentral lists this ribosomal RNA (397 nucleotides) under uncultured bacterium. RNAcentral describes it as "partial 16S ribosomal RNA". It matches the Rfam family "Bacterial small subunit ribosomal RNA", at positions 523 to 918 of the family's 1533-position model. The record is from RNAcentral.
AUACGUAGGGGGCGAGCGUUGUCCGGAAUGAUUGGGUGUAAAGGGCGCGUAGGCGGCCCGGUAAGUCUGGAGUGAAAGUCCUGUUUUUAAGAUGGGAAUUGCUUUGGAUACUGUCGGGCUUGAGUGCAGGAGAGGUAAGUGGAAUUCCCAGUGUAGCGGUGAAAUGCGUAGAGAUUGGGAGGAACACCAGUGGCGAAGGCGACUUACUGGACUGUAACUGACGCUGAGGCGCGAAAGUGUGGGGAGCAAACAGGAUUAGAUACCCUGGUAGUCCACACUGUAAACGAUGAAUGCUAGGUGUAGGGGGUAUCGACCCCUUCUGUGCCGCAGUCAACACAAUAAGCAUUCCGCCUGGGGAGUACGGCCGCAAGGUUGAAACUUAAAGGAAUUGACGGGG